AUUGAACGCUGGCGGCAUGCCUUACACAUGCAAGUCGAACGGCAGCACGGGAGCAAUCCUGGUGGCGAGUGGCGAACGGGUGAGUAAAGUAUCGGAACGUGCCCAGUCGUGGGGGAUAACGUAGCGAAAGUUACGCUAAUACCGCAUACGAUCUAUGGAUGAAAGCGGGGAUCGCAAGACCUCGCGCGAUUGGAGCGGCCGAUAUCAGAUUAGGUAGUUGGGGGGGUAAAGGCUCACCAAGCCGACGAUCUGUAGCUGGUCUGAGAGGACGACCAGCCAGACGGGGACUGAGACACGGCCCAGACUCCUACGGGAGGCAGCAGUGGGGAAUUUUGGACAAUGGGCGCAAGCCUGAUCCAGCCAUGCCGCGUGCAGGAUGAAAGCCUUCGGGUUGUAAACUGCUUUUGUACGGAACGAAAAGGUUUGACUUAAUACGUUGGACUCAUGACGGUACCGUAAGAAUAAGCACCGGCUAACUACGUGCCAGCCGCCGCAGUAA
Molecule: ribosomal RNA, 499 nt
Filed under: uncultured bacterium
Lineage: Bacteria
Description: partial 16S ribosomal RNA
Rfam family: Bacterial small subunit ribosomal RNA
Source: RNAcentral